GACGAACGCUGGCGGCGUGCUUAACACAUGCAAGUCGAGCGGAAAGGCCCUGUGCGGGGUACUCGGGCGGCGGCCGGGGGAGUAACACGUGCGUAAGCUGCCCCUCCCUUGGGGAUAACCACCGGAAACGGACGCUAAUACCCGAUCCGACCAAUCCUCGCAUGCGGAGGGGGUGGAAAGUUGUGCGGUGUGGGAUGUGCUCGCGGCUUAUCAGCUCGUUGGUGGGGUAAUGGCCUACGAACGCUUCGAAGGGUCGCCGGCCUGAGAGGGUAGCCGGCGACACUGGUACUGCGACACGGCGCAGACUCCUACGUGAGGCAGCAGUGGGGAAUAUUGGACAAUGGCCGGAAGCCUGAUCCAGCAACGCCGCGUGAGGGAUGACGGCCUUCGGGUUGUAAACCUAUUUCACCUGUGACGAAGCGAAAGUGACGGUAGCAGGAGAAGAAGCCCCGGCCAGCUACGUG
This 464-nucleotide ribosomal RNA is filed under the name uncultured bacterium. RNAcentral describes it as "partial 16S ribosomal RNA". It matches the Rfam family "Bacterial small subunit ribosomal RNA", at positions 28 to 507 of the family's 1533-position model. The record is from RNAcentral.